UGGGGAAUAUUGGACAAUGGGCGAAAGCCUGAUCCAGCCAUGCCGCGUGUGUGAAGAAUGUCUUCGGAUUGUAAAGCACUUUAAGUUGGGAGGAAGGGCAGUAAGCGAAUACCUUGCUGUUUUGACGUUACCGACAGAAUAAGCACCGGCUAACUCUGUGCCAGCAGCCGCGGUAAUACAGUGGGUGCAAGCGUUAAUCGGAAUUACUGGGCGUAAAGCGCGCGUAGGUGGUUCGUUAAGUUGAAUGUGAAAGCCCCGGACUCAACCUGGGGUCUACAUCCAAAACUGGCGAGCGAGAGUAGGGCAGAGGGUGGUGGAAUUUCCUGUGUAGCGGUGAAAUGCGUAGAUAUAGGAAGGAACACCAGUGGCGAAGGCGACAACCUGGGCUCAUACUGACACUGAGGUGUGAAAGCGUGGGGAGCAAACAGG
Molecule: ribosomal RNA, 429 nt
Filed under: Pseudomonadota bacterium
Lineage: Bacteria; Pseudomonadati; Pseudomonadota
Description: Proteobacteria bacterium partial 16S ribosomal RNA
Rfam family: Bacterial small subunit ribosomal RNA
Source: RNAcentral